UUAGAGUUUGAUCCUGGCUCAGGAUGAACGCUGGCGGCGCGCCUAACACAUGCAAGUCGAACGGCACCCCUCUCCGGAGGGAAGCGAGUGGCGAACGGCUGAGUAACACGUGGAGAACCUGCCCCCUCCCCCGGGAUAGCCGCCCGAAAGGACGGGUAAUACCGGAUACCCCCGGGCGCCGCAUGGCGCCCGGGCUAAAGCCCCGACGGGAGGGGAUGGCUCCGCGGCCCAUCAGGUAGACGGCGGGGUGACGGCCCACCGUGCCGACAACGGGUAGCCGGGUUGAGAGACCGACCGGCCAGAUUGGGACUGAGACACGGCCCAGACUCCUACGGGAGGCAGCAGUGGGGAAUCUUGCGCAAUGGGGGGAACCCUGACGCAGCGACGCCGCGUGCGGGACGGAGGCCUUCGGGUCGUAAACCGCUUUCAGCAGGGAAGAGUCAAGACUGUACCUGCAGAAGAAGCCCCGGCUAACUACGUGCCAGCAGCCGCGGUAAUACGUAGGGGGCGAGCGUUAUCCGGAUUCAUUGGGCGUAAAGCGCGCGUAGGCGGCCCGGCAGGCCGGGGGUCGAAGCGGGGGGCUCAACCCCCCGAAGCCCCCGGAACCUCCGCGGCUUGGGUCCGGUAGGGGAGGGUGGAACACCCGGUGUAGCGGUGGAAUGCGCAGAUAUCGGGUGGAACACCGGUGGCGAAGGCGGCCCUCUGGGCCGAGACCGACGCUGAGGCGCGAAAGCUGGGGGAGCGAACAGGAUUAGAUACCCUGGUAGUCCCAGCCGUAAACGAUGGACGCUAGGUGUGGGGGGACGAUCCCCCCGUGCCGCAGCCAACGCAUUAAGCGUCCCGCCUGGGGAGUACGGCCGCAAGGCUAAA
RNAcentral lists this ribosomal RNA (870 nucleotides) under uncultured bacterium. RNAcentral describes it as "bacterial SSU rRNA". It matches the Rfam family "Bacterial small subunit ribosomal RNA", at positions 1 to 898 of the family's 1533-position model. The record is from RNAcentral.